AAAUAUUAAUUCACACCCACCAACGCCAGGGUAUUACAAGCCUUAGCUUAAAACCCAAAGGACUUGACGGUGUCCCAUCCACCUAGAGGAGCCUGUUCCAUAAUCGAUAAUCCCCGCUAUACCUAACCACCCCUUGCCAAUCAGUCUGUAUACCUCCGUCGUAAGCUUACCAUAUGAAUGCUUACAGUAAGUUUAAUGGCCACAAGCACCAAUACGUCAGGUCAAGGUGCAGCUUAUGAGAUGGUGGACAAUGGGCUACAGUUUCUAUAAUAGAACAAACGAAACGCUGCAUGAAACACAGCCACGAAGGCGGAUUUAGUAGUAAAAAGAAAAUAGUGUGUUCUUUUUAACUAGGCCCUGGGACGUGU
This 368-nucleotide ribosomal RNA is filed under the name Quasipaa spinosa (Chinese spiny frog). RNAcentral describes it as "partial 12S ribosomal RNA". It matches the Rfam family "Bacterial small subunit ribosomal RNA", at positions 875 to 1384 of the family's 1533-position model. The record is from RNAcentral. Lineage: Eukaryota; Metazoa; Chordata; Amphibia; Anura; Dicroglossidae.